This 286-nucleotide unclassified non-coding RNA is filed under the name Hevea brasiliensis (rubber tree). Lineage: Eukaryota; Viridiplantae; Streptophyta; Magnoliopsida; Malpighiales; Euphorbiaceae. The record is from RNAcentral.
GAUUGCCCUCCCCCUCCUGAGUUUCACACGCUUCGUGCAGGAGUAGAUGAUGAUGACAGUGAAGAAGAUGACAUGGAUGAUUAUGAUAGUGAGGAUGAAAUGGAUUGGGAUGGUGAGGAUGAGUUGGAUGAUUAUGGUGAUGAGUUUGAAGAUGGGAUCAUCAUUGUUGACAGUGACAACGAUGAUGAUGACAACAAAAGUAAGGCCACCAAAUCAGCUGCCAGCAACAAAGGCUUGAGAAAUAGAACUCAAAAAUAAAUCGACAGCCUCGAUUUUGGCAGUAGAA